ACUUGGCCUCACAUCCUGCUCACCGAAGUCAUACCUUGACUGGCAGUCCCGGUGAGCUAGCAAGAACUGAAGAGCACGCGGAGGUUUUUGUUUUAGUACGUAGGCAUAAUCCCAUUAGGGUUUAUGAAUCGUGCAUGCCCCCUAAGGACGGUAGGUAGUAUCUUUAGAAGAUUUUAAUUUUCCUCCC
Regulatory RNA element from Drosophila melanogaster (fruit fly), 187 nucleotides. It matches the Rfam family "R2 RNA element". Rfam says of the family: This family represents the 3' UTR region of the R2 retrotransposable element. This family is known to interact with the R2-encoded reverse transcriptase in a reaction known as target primed reverse transcription (TPRT). NCBI's taxonomy places the organism in Eukaryota, Metazoa, Arthropoda, Insecta, Diptera, Drosophilidae. The record is from Rfam.